GGUCAAUUGCUGCUAUUUUUGUAGUAGAGGAAAGUCCAUGCUUGCACAUCCUGCGAUGGGUGUAGUGAUUUAGUGGGAUCAAAAAAUAAAUCCCAGCAUAACACUUGUGUUAUGACGGCGAAAUUAUUAGCUAAAGAAUCCUAAGAUUCCAUGCUGCUAAUUUGUUAAAGUGCCACAGAGACGAGCUAGAGAGAAAUUUCUAGAUGAAACGCGGUAAACCCCUAAAGCAAGAAACCUAAAUUAUGGUGAGGGAACGCAAAGAACAGGAACUGAAUUGUUUUUUGUGACUUAAAGUUCACUUUAAGUAGAUAAAUAAUUGACGGCGAGUUUUCGCAACAGAACAUGGCUUACA
RNAcentral lists this RNase P RNA (352 nucleotides) under bovine gut metagenome. RNAcentral's name for it is "Bacterial RNase P class B". It matches the Rfam family "Bacterial RNase P class B". Rfam says of the family: Ribonuclease P (RNase P) is a ubiquitous endoribonuclease, found in archaea, bacteria and eukarya as well as chloroplasts and mitochondria. Its best characterised activity is the generation of mature 5'-ends of tRNAs by cleaving the 5'-leader elements of precursor-tRNAs. Cellular RNase Ps are ribonucleoproteins. The record is from RNAcentral.